GAUGAACGCUGGCGGCGUGCUUAACACAUGCAAGUCGAACGAAGCACUUUAUUUGAUUUCCUUCGGGACUGAUUAUUUUGUGACUGAGUGGCGGACGGGUGAGUAACGCGUGGGUAACCUGCCUUGUACAGGGGGAUAACAGUUGGAAACGGCUGCUAAUACCGCAUAAGCGCACAGCAUCGCAUGAUGCAGUGUGAAAAACUCCGGUGGUAUAAGAUGGACCCGCGUUGGAUUAGCUAGUUGGUGAGGUAACGGCCCACCAAGGCGACGAUCCAUAGCCGACCUGAGAGGGGGACCGGCCACAUUGGGACUGAGACACGGCCCAAACUCCUACGGGAGGCAGCAGUGGGGAAUAUUGCACAAUGGGCGAAAGCCUGAUGCAGCGACGCCGCGUGAGCGAAGAAGUAUUUCGGUAUGUAAAGCUCUAUCAGCAGGGAAGAUAAUGACGGUACCUGACUAAGAAGCACCGGCUAAAUACGUG
This 481-nucleotide ribosomal RNA is filed under the name uncultured bacterium. RNAcentral's name for it is "partial 16S ribosomal RNA". It matches the Rfam family "Bacterial small subunit ribosomal RNA", at positions 28 to 507 of the family's 1533-position model. The record is from RNAcentral.